Molecule: unclassified non-coding RNA, 358 nt
Filed under: uncultured Rhizophydiales
Lineage: Eukaryota; Fungi; Chytridiomycota; Chytridiomycetes; Rhizophydiales
Description: sequence contains ITS1
Rfam family: 5.8S ribosomal RNA (bases 1-105)
Source: RNAcentral
GAAAUGCGAUACGUAGUGUGAAUUGCAGAAUUCCGUGAAUCAUCAAAUCUUUGAACGCAUAUUGCACUCGAGACUUCGGUUUAGAGUACGUUUGCCUCAGCGUCGGGUUAAUAUCACUCCCUCCAAUCCUUGGAUUGAUAAGGAGUGGACCUGGUCGUCUCAGCUAUCUUACAAUAGCUGGGUCGACUGAAGUGCAGAGGUUAGUGCAAGGACCUUUCAAAGGCCGCAACUGGGUAGGCAGCUUACUGCUAAUCUUACUAGUUGUUGGCUUGGUGUAUUGUGCUCGACCCACAACCAGGAAACCUUACAUGUUUAUUUUCUCGACCUGAGCUCAAGCGAGGACACCCGCUGAACUUAA